ACCAACAAACUGGCCCUGGUUGCAAGCGAGGCUGCUCGCAUGCGCAGCGAUGACAUCGAAGUUUUCGUCAUCACGUCCGGCCGACAAGGCGGCCAGUUGGUCAACGACAUUGUGUCCGAGCCCAAAGAUCAGCACAUCAUUCAGCUUCCUGGCCUGGAUUUCUCCAACCACGCCUACGCUAGCGACAAGAUUGUGGAGUUUUUGUGCGGAGAUAACAGUGCCUGGCUGUAAAGAUUUCAUCUGUUACUUCCCUGAUGGAGGAAAGUGUUUUCCGUCCUUGUGUCAAACACGACGCUGUGUACAAGGGUCAGCUGUUCGAUUCUGAUGUGCCAGCGCGUCUUUCCCGUGACACAAAUUUUAGUGACUCAAGCGCGUGCAGUGGAAAACCUCGUAACUUGAUAAUUCCUUUUCUAUGCUUAGUGCCUACGUGCAGGUCGCGUUGGCUGGUCCAAGGGCAGACUAUUUCCACGUGACUAUUCGCUGAGGGUCAAGGCGUUGUAUAUGUUAAUAAUGAAGUGGCGAUCCUGAUCUCGUCUCUUUGUAAUGUCUGUAUUCUGAAUAAACUAAAAUGACUUUUAA
This is a long non-coding RNA of Pomacea canaliculata, 579 nucleotides long. RefSeq lists it as uncharacterized. The transcript has 2 exons. The record is from RefSeq and is a predicted model, not a curated record. NCBI's taxonomy places the organism in Eukaryota, Metazoa, Mollusca, Gastropoda, Architaenioglossa, Ampullariidae.